UGCUUAUAUAUGAACUAAAUCAAUUGACAAAUUUAUACAAAAGUAAACUCACUUUCAAGACAUGCAGACACAUAAAAUUUUACAAGAUGACUAACAGACCAAUGGUUUGGAGAGAGUAGAAAAAAAUGCUCUAAACCAUUGUAAGGUAUGGCAACACACUAUGUUUUCCUAGAAUUAUAGAACAUAGACUAAUAUUUGCUUGGAUUAUUCAAACAAACAAAAAUCAACUGAUGUUGGGUUAAAUAUUUUGAUUCAAGCCAAUUAAAAUCAAACUGUUCACGUUGCGAUGGAAGUUGACAAAAAAAUUUAGACUAAAGUUUCAAUUUUGACUUUUAAAAGUUUUGUUUCAAGAAAUCCAGGCCGGAUGACAUACUCAUUUUUCAAUUAUUUGGUUAGAUCAUAUUGGAUCAAAAUGACAGUAACAGGAUAUCUUACUCUGUACCAUACAUACAUGUAUUUGUAUUUGCUAUCAGAAAGAAGCCUCUUUGCCUUUCUAUUAAAAUCAUACAAGUUGAAUUUCUUUUGUGAGCAUAUGAAAUACAAGUAUGAGAAUUAGACUCUAUUUUUAACAAACAAGUCAAAAAUUCAAUUCACCAUACAAUAAACAAUUAACCAUGUGCAGUUCAGCAGUAACAUUACAAAUACUUUCCCCCUUUUUUUCAUUUCAAGGGCGACAACUCUUUCAUAAAUUUAAAUCAUCAUUAAUAACUCAAAAAU
Molecule: long non-coding RNA, 717 nt
Filed under: Mytilus galloprovincialis (Mediterranean mussel)
Lineage: Eukaryota; Metazoa; Mollusca; Bivalvia; Mytilida; Mytilidae
Source: RNAcentral